GACAAGCUGAUGGGACUAUGGGUUAUAGGUGACAAGCUGAUGGGACUAUGGGCUAUAGGUGACAAGCUGAUGGGACUAUGGGCUAUAGGUGACAAGCUGAUGGGACUAUGGGCUAUAGGUGACAAGCUGAUGGGACUAUGGGCUGUAGGUGACAAGCUGAUGGGACUAUGGGCUGUAGGUGACAAGCUGAUGGGACUAUGGACUAUAGGUGACAAGCUGAUGGGACUAUGGGCUGUAGGUGACAAGCUGAUGGGACUAUGGGUUAUAGGUGACAAGCUGAUGGGACUAUGGGCUAUAGGUGACAAGCUGAUGGGACUAUGGGCUAUAAGUGACAAGCUGAUGGGACUAUGGGCUAUAGGUGACAAGCUGAUGGGACUAUGGGCUAUAGGUGACAAGGUGAUGGGACUAUGGGCUAUAGGUGACAAGCUGAUGGGACUAUGGGUUAUAGGUGACAAGCUGAUGGGACUAUGGGCUAUAGGUGACAAGCUGAUGGGACUAUGGGC
RNAcentral lists this long non-coding RNA (503 nucleotides) under Salmo salar (Atlantic salmon). Its description in RNAcentral is "lncRNA (ENSSSAG00000087025.1)". The record is from RNAcentral. Lineage: Eukaryota; Metazoa; Chordata; Actinopteri; Salmoniformes; Salmonidae.